Molecule: ribosomal RNA, 253 nt
Filed under: uncultured bacterium
Lineage: Bacteria
Description: partial 16S ribosomal RNA
Rfam family: Bacterial small subunit ribosomal RNA
Source: RNAcentral
UACGGAGGGUGCAAGCGUUAAUCGGAUUUAUUGGGCGUAAAGAGCUCGUAGGCGGUUUGUCGCGUCUGCCGUGAAAGUCCGGGGCUCAACUCCGGAUCUGCGGUGGGUACGGGCAGGCUAGAGGCAGGCAGGGGAGAACGGAAUUCCCGGUGUAGCGGUGAAAUGCGCAGAUAUCAGGAGGAACACCGGUGGCGAAGGCGGGUCUCUGGGCCGAUACUGACGCUGAGGCACGAAAGCGUGGGGAGCAAACAGG